RNAcentral lists this long non-coding RNA (294 nucleotides) under Brassica napus (rape). RNAcentral describes it as "long non-coding RNA (BNAP_LNC020799)". Lineage: Eukaryota; Viridiplantae; Streptophyta; Magnoliopsida; Brassicales; Brassicaceae. The record is from RNAcentral.
GAGUAGGGGUAGAGCUGGAAAAUGGGUGGGCUGUCCAAUGGGUGUCCAUGUCCAAAUAUAUUUGGGCUUUCAUAAGUUAUACCCAUAUUUCCAGAUGGGUUUUAAAUGGUCAAAAUUGGAAAACCAAUUAAUCUAUGGGUGUUUGUGGAUUUGAUUAAUAUGGACAUAGACAGUCCAAUUAAAAAAAAAAUUCUAGGGUUUCCAAAAUUUGGGAGAAAAUUGAAAAAUUUCAUUUCAUCGUGAAAGAGAGUUUCUGCGACUCCUUUGGCGAUUUUGGCGAUUGAAACUGAGUUC